GACGAACGCUGGCGGCGUGCCUAAUACAUGCAAGUAGAACGCACAGUUUAUACCGUAGCUUGCUACACCAUAGACUGUGAGUUGCGAACGGGUGAGUAACGCGUAGGUAACCUGCCUGGUAGCGGGGGAUAACUAUUGGAAACGAUAGCUAAUACCGCAUAAUAUUGAUUAUUGCAUGAUAAUUAAUUGAAAGGUGCAAUUGCACCACUACCAGAUGGACCUGCGUUGUAUUAGCUAGUAGGUGAGGUAACGGCUCACCUAGGCGACGAUACAUAGCCGACCUGAGAGGGUGAUCGGCCACACUGGGACUGAGACACGGCCCAGACUCCUACGGGAGGCAGCAGUAGGGAAUCUUCGGAAAUGGACGAAAGUCUGACCGAGAAACGCCGCGUGAGUGAAGAAGGUUUUCGGAUCGUAAAGCUCUGUUGUAAGAGAAGAAAGGGUGUGAGAGUGGAAAGUUCACACUGUGACGGUAUCUUACCAGAAAGGGACGGCUAACUACGUG
RNAcentral lists this ribosomal RNA (505 nucleotides) under uncultured bacterium. RNAcentral describes it as "partial 16S ribosomal RNA". It matches the Rfam family "Bacterial small subunit ribosomal RNA", at positions 28 to 507 of the family's 1533-position model. The record is from RNAcentral.